RNAcentral lists this ribosomal RNA (497 nucleotides) under uncultured bacterium. RNAcentral's name for it is "partial 16S ribosomal RNA". It matches the Rfam family "Bacterial small subunit ribosomal RNA", at positions 28 to 507 of the family's 1533-position model. The record is from RNAcentral.
GAUGAACGCUGGCGGCGUACCUAAUACAUGCAAGUCGAGCGAACAGACGAGGAGCUUGCUCCUCUGACGUUAGCGGCGGACGGGUGAGUAACACGUGGAUAACCUACCUAUAAGACUGGGAUAACUUCGGGAAACCGGAGCUAAUACCGGAUAAUAUAUUGAACCGCAUGGUUCAAUAGUGAAAGACGGUUUUGCUGUCACUUAUAGCUGGAUCCGCGCCGCAUUAGCUAGUUGGUAAGGUAACGGCUUACCAAGGCGACGAUGCGUAGCCGACCUGCGAGGGUGAUCGGCCACACUGGAACUGAAACACGGUCCAGACUCCUACGGGAGGCAGCAGUAGGGAAUCUUCCGCAAUGGGCGAAAGCCUGACGGAGCAACGCCGCGUGAGUGAUGAAGGUCUUCGGAUCGUAAAACUCUGUUAUUAGGGAAGAACAAAUGUGUAAGUAACUAUGCACGUCUUGACGGUACCUAAUCAGAAAGCCACGGCUAACUACGUG